GGAUAACGUUUGGAAACGAGCGCUAAUACCGCAUGACAUUAUCUUAUCGCAUGGUAGGAUAAUCAAAGGAGCAAUCCGCUGAAAGAUGGGCUCGCGUCCGAUUAGGUAGUUGGUGGGGUAACGGCCCACCAAGCCGACGAUCGGUAGCCGGACUGAGAGGUUGGACGGCCACAUUGGGACUGAGACACGGCCCAGACUCCUACGGGAGGCAGCAGUAAGGGAUAUUGGUCAAUGGGGGAAACCCUGAACCAGCAACGCCGCGUGAGGGAAGACGGUUUUCGGAUUGUAAACCUCUGUCCUCUGUGAAGAUGAUGACGGUAGCAGAGGAGGAAGCUCCGGCUAACUACGUGCCAGCAGCCGCGGUAAUACGUAGGGAGCGAGCGUUGUCCGGAUUUACUGGGUGUAAAGGGUGCGUAGGCGGCUUGGCAAGUCAGUAGUGAAAUCCAUGGGCUUAACCCAUGAACUGCUAUUGAAACUGUCGAGCUUGAGUGAAGUAGAGGUAGGCGGAAUUCCCGGUGUAGCGGUGAAAUGCGUAGAGAUCGGGAGGAACACCAGUGGCGAAGGCGGCCUACUGGGCUUUAACUGACGCUGAGGCACGAAAGCGUGGGUAGCAAACAGGAUUAGAUACCCUGGUAGUCCACGCUGUAAACGAUGAGUGCUAGGUGUCGGGGGGGCAAAGCCCCUCGGU
Molecule: ribosomal RNA, 688 nt
Filed under: uncultured bacterium
Lineage: Bacteria
Description: bacterial SSU rRNA
Rfam family: Bacterial small subunit ribosomal RNA
Source: RNAcentral